This 450-nucleotide ribosomal RNA is filed under the name uncultured bacterium. Its description in RNAcentral is "partial 16S ribosomal RNA". It matches the Rfam family "Bacterial small subunit ribosomal RNA", at positions 354 to 796 of the family's 1533-position model. The record is from RNAcentral.
GUGGGGAAUCUUCCGCAAUGGACGAAAGUCUGACGGAGCGACGCCGCGUGAGUGAAGAAGGCCUUCGGGUCGUAAAGCUCUGUCAUCAGGGACGAACGGCCGGUGGAGUGGAAAGCCACCGGAUUGACGGUACCUGAGAAGGAAGCCACGGCUAACUACGUGCCAGCAGCCGCGGUAAUACGUAGGUGGCAAGCGUUGUCCGGAAUUAUUGGGCGUAAAGCGCGCGCAGGUGGGAUCUUAAGUCCAUUUUGAAAGUUCGGAGCUCAACUCCGUGAUGGGAUGGAAACUGGGAUUCUUGAGUACCGGAGAGGAAAGCGGAAUUCCCCGUGUAGCGGUGAAAUGCGUAGAUAUGGGGAGGAACACCAGUGGCGAAGGCGGCUUUCUGGACGGUGUCUGACACUGAGGCGCGAAAGCUAGGGCAGCGAACGGGAUUAGAUACCCGUGUAGUCC